UACGUAUGUCGCGAGCGUUAUCCGGAAUUAUUGGGCAUAAAGGGCAUCUAGGCGGCUGAUUAAGUCUGAGGUGAAAACUUUCGGCUCAACCGAGAGCCUGCCUUGGAAACUAAUGCAGCUGGAGUACUGGAGAGGUGGACGGAACUACACGAGUAGAGGUGAAAUUCGUAGAUAUGUGUAGGAAUGCCGAUGAUGAAGAUAGUCCACUGGACAGAAACUGACGCUGAAGUGCGAAAGCUAGGGGAGCGAACAGGAUUAGAUACCCUGGUAGUCCUAGCUGUAAACGAUGAUCACUGGGUGUGGGCAGGGAGACUGUCUGUGCCGAAGCGAAUGCGAUAAGUGAUCCGCCUGGGGAGUACGGCCGCAAGGCUGAA
Molecule: ribosomal RNA, 374 nt
Filed under: uncultured bacterium
Lineage: Bacteria
Description: bacterial SSU rRNA
Rfam family: Bacterial small subunit ribosomal RNA
Source: RNAcentral